Molecule: ribosomal RNA, 469 nt
Filed under: Speocirolana sp. JK-2004
Lineage: Eukaryota; Metazoa; Arthropoda; Malacostraca; Isopoda; Cirolanidae
Description: partial 16S ribosomal RNA
Rfam family: Bacterial large subunit ribosomal RNA
Source: RNAcentral
CGUUUACUUAAUUUCUUCUUAUAUUGGAGGUAGGCCCUGUUCUAUGGUUUUAAAUGACUGCAGUAUUUUGACUGUGCUAAGGUAGCAUAAUAAUUUUUUCUUUAAUUAAGAGGUUGAAUGAAUGGGUUAACAAGAUAUAUGCUUUAUUAAUUUAAUUGUUUGAAUUUGAUUGUUGAGGUUAAAAUUCCUUAGUGUUUUAGAGGGACGACAAGACCCUAAGAAAUUUUAUCACCUGGUUGAGUUUAUUGGUUUGGUGUUUUGGCUGGGGCGGUCUUAUUUAGUGUCAAAUAGUUUAUUGUUACACGGUGUGUGGUUUUGUUGAGCUUUUAUUAGAACUGAAGUUGAAUUACUCUAGGGAUAACAGCGCUAUUGUUUUGAAGAGUUCAAAUCGAUAAAAUAGUUUGCGACCUCGAUGUUGAAUUAAGUGGCUUUUUUGGGUAUAAGAAAAAAGUAGCAGGUCUGUUCGACC